CAGGAACAUCAAAUGGAACAACUAUCCUUGCAAGAAGACACCUUCAAAAGAGCUAAAGAAAUCAGUGACCCUAGGGCGCCAGUGAGCCAUUCAUCACACACAGAACCUCACAAGGAGGAUGACUCACACACACAUCAACAAGCUCUGUCUCUGUUUCUUACUUUAUCCAUCUCAAUAGACUGUCUUGAGAUAUUCUCAGUUAGAUUAAAAGUGGAUAUGAAGGAGAUUCUUGAAGAUCUUGCCAUAUGUUUUUGAAUGAUGACUCUGAACUUUCGUAUGAGAGAAAGAGAGUGUGCUGUACUUUAAGAAUACUGCGAGUCUCUGUUGAUAUACUUGCUAGUUUGUGGC
This 348-nucleotide long non-coding RNA is filed under the name Homo sapiens (human). RNAcentral's name for it is "HSALNT0133653". Lineage: Eukaryota; Metazoa; Chordata; Mammalia; Primates; Hominidae. The record is from RNAcentral.